GGUAACAGAUGAAGAGCUUGCUCAGAUUGCUGACGACCGGCGCACGGGUGAGUAACACGUAUGCAACCUACCUUUUACAGAGGGAUAGCCCAGAGAAAUUUGGAUUAAUACCUCAUAAUAUUUUUAAUUCGCAUGAGUUUUAAAUUAAAACUUCGGUGGUAAAAGAUGGGCAUGCGUUCUAUUAGUUUGUUGGUGAGGUAACGGCUUACCAAGACUACGAUAGAUAGGGGCUCUGAGAGGAUAGUCCCCCACACUGGUACUGAGACACGGACCAGACUCCUACGGGAGGCAGCAGUGAGGAAUAUUGGUCAAUGGUCGAAAGACUGAACCAGCCAUGUCGCGUGAAGGAUGACGGCCCUAUGGGUUGUAAACUUCUUUUGUAUGGGAAGAAAAGCAGUUACGUGUAAUUGUCUGCCGGUACCAUACGAAUAAGGAUCGGCUAACUCCGUGCCAGCAGCCGCGGUAAUACGGAGGAUCCAAGCGUUAUCCGGAUUUAUUGGGUUUAAAGGGUGCGUAGGCGGCUCUAUAAGUCAGUAGUGAAAUCUCGAAGCUCAACUUCGAACGUGCUAUUGAAACUGUAGAGCUUGAGUACAGACGAGGCAGGCGGAAUGUGUUGUGUAGCGGUGAAAUGCUUAGAUAUAACACAGAACACCGAUAGCGAAGGCAGCUUGCCAGACUGUAACUGACGCUGAGGCACGAAAGCGUGGGGAGCGAACAGGAUUAGAUACCCUGGUAGUCCACGCCGUAAACGAUGAUUACUGGUUGUAGGCGAUACAUUGUCUGUGACUGA
RNAcentral lists this ribosomal RNA (790 nucleotides) under uncultured Bacteroidota bacterium. RNAcentral describes it as "bacterial SSU rRNA". It matches the Rfam family "Bacterial small subunit ribosomal RNA", at positions 68 to 850 of the family's 1533-position model. The record is from RNAcentral. Lineage: Bacteria; Pseudomonadati; Bacteroidota.